Molecule: unclassified non-coding RNA, 5017 nt
Filed under: Leishmania donovani
Lineage: Eukaryota; Euglenozoa; Kinetoplastea; Trypanosomatida; Trypanosomatidae
Description: gene:LdHU3.34.5120(CDS-product:aminophospholipid_ translocase_putative)
Source: RNAcentral
AAGCCGAGAGAUGGUGGCGCCGGCUUUCACCUCCCGCUCUUCCCCCUCUUCCCUCUCAUCGCCCUGUUCUCUGUGCCGUCACUGGGCGCAGGCGAACUGGACGCAGUGCCACAUGCCCGCCCCUGCGCAUUCAGAACAGAAGUGCACAUCACAGCUACCCAUCACGUCUCCCUUCGCAUCAGGGCGUUCUCCCACCUGCGCGCUGGUCGUGUAUUUUGUGUGUGUGUGUGUGUUUGCGUGCUAUUUUAUGAACUCGCCGUGUGCAGAGCUCGCCGGUCACACACAAAAAAGCAGCCUUUGCGUGAUCGCAUAGCCCCGCCUAUUGCCGCCUACCAGUUGCGUCGAAACUCACUCCCGCAACUCCGCUUCCCUAGGUGGUUUUCGGCACCUUUAGGGCCAUCUCAGCAGUCUUGUGAUUCCUCAUCUGCCUUAGCGGUUCCUCUGAAUUUUCGGGUGACCGACGUGCGCGGCGGGCGAGGUUGUCCCCCCUCCCCCCCCCCCACACACACACGCGAAAAAAUAACAGGAUGCGACAGAUACGCUACCGGGCGCUGCACAACGGUGCUGAUGAAGACGCGCGAAGUCGCAACAGCAGCACCCCCAAUAUCUCCACGAGCAGCGCACAUGGUCCUCAGCUGCCACAGCGGCACUGCUGUCGGCCACGUGAUUUCGUGUUUGACGACUCCCUCAGCACUGGCGCGGCGGUGUCAGUGUUGGCCAUUCCACAGCAGAAGAAACACAGUGUGCGACGGUGGCUGCAGGAAAUGUUACAUCUGCCGAUCGCGCCGUCUCUCGACAACCGCCAAAUCCCGUUUGGCUACUUCCCUGGCGAAUGGUCGCCGGUCGGCUAUCCGAGCAACGCGGUGAGCAACCGUCGCUACACGCUCUCCACGUUUCUGCCGCUGGCGCUGCUCCGUCAGUUUCAGAACUUCUUUAACCUCUUCUACCUCUUUCUGGCCUUCUCGCAGGUCAUUCCAGUGCUGAAAGUUGGCUUCAUCUUCACUUACUUUUCACCGCUAGUAAUGGUGGUGUGCCUCUCGCUGAUGAAGGACGCGCUCGAUGAGUGGAAGCGAUUCCGGCGCGAUCGCAUCGCCAACGUCGAGGUGUUCGAGAAACUCACAGGCGGCGGCGACGUGGUCACGGUGCGGUCGUCACACAUUCGGGUAGGAGAUCUGCUCAUCCUGCAUCAAGAUCAACGGGUGCCGGCCGACUGCGUCGUGUUGCACACCUCCGAGAAGUCCGGCACGACGUUCAUUCGUACCGACCAACUUGACGGCGAAACGGAUUGGAAGCUGCGCUACCCGUUGAACUCUACCAAGGGUCUAGGAUACGCCGAACUUGGUGCGCUGCGCUUCAACGUGCACUGUGGCGCGCCUCACAAAGACAUCUACAGCUUCGCCGGCACCCUCGAACUGGCCAACGGACAGAGCGAGUCGAUCACGAUGGAGAAUGCCGUCUGGUCGUCGUGUGUGGUGGCGACGGGGACGCUGGUGGUUGCCGUCCUAUACACGGGUAGGGAGACGCGCAGCGCCCUCAACUCGACAAGCCCGCGUAACAAACUUGGCCUCAUCGAGCGCGAGCUCAACCUAAUCGCGGUUCUGUGCUUCGCGCUGCUUCUGAUCCUUUCCUUUCUUCUCGUAGCGCAACAGCAGUUCCGUGGCGACUUUGCCGUCAUGUUCGUGCGCUUCUUCAUCCUCCUCUCGUCCAUGAUUCCCAUCUCGAUGCGCGUGAACGUAGACGUCGGCCGCCUCUGGUACUCGUACGAUAUGUCGCAUGACCCCAACAUCCCUGGCGCCGUGGCUCGCAACGCAAACCUUCCGGAGGAAUUGGGUCGGCUGCGCUAUCUCUUCUCCGACAAGACCGGCACACUCACAAAGAACAAGAUGAAGUUUCGCGUGAUGCAGGUGGGACCGGACACGGUGCUAACGGACCGCUUCACUGAUCAGCUGGCGGGCGCGCUGCAGGAGUACUUUGGCACAGGCAACUGGGGAGCCGGGGCUCGGCUCAUGCUCAGCAACGUCUCCGCGCGAGUCAGCGUGAGAAAUUCGAAGCAAUGGAGCCGUGAUGUGCAGCGCGUUGGCGACCUUAUCAGAGCCAUUGUCCUGUGCCACAAUGUGAGCCCAGUGGUGAUGGAGGAGCCGUUGGCCCUUGGUACCGACGACGAAACAACGGCACUGGGUCGCGGUGCGGCUGCGGCUGUGCCGGCCACAACCGAUAUGAGGAGUCAGCCGACUGACUACCAAGCCUCCUCGCCAGACGAGGUUGCGCUGGUCAAGUUCUGCCGCUCCCUCGGUAUUGUCUUGACCUAUCGCGAUCUCACAACGAUCGCCUUCACCGUUGGCGGCGGUGCGCAGCUGCACACGUGCACAAUCGUCAAAACGUUCCCGUUCUCGUCGGAGCGGAAGUGCAUGGGCAUCAUCCUGCGCGAGCGCACUGGGAGCUGCAGUGGCGGCAGCUCACAGGAGACCGUCAAGUUCUACAUGAAAGGCGCAGACGUGAAGAUGGCGUCGGUGGUGCGCCAAUCGGAGUGGCUGGAGGAGUGUUGCCAGGAGCUGGCGCAGAUGGGCCUGCGAACGCUCGUGUUUGCCAGUCGAACGCUCAGCGAGGAGAUGCUCGGCGCCUUCCUGCAGCAGUACGAAGCCGCCAUUUCAAUCCUUGGUGAAGGUCGCGCAGCAGCAAUCGAGGCGGCGAUGAAGCUAUUGGAGACGGACAUGACGCUGACAGGGGUGACGGGGGUGGAGGACGAGCUGCAAGACGACGUUGUCGUCUGUCUCGAGACGCUUGGCAUGUGUGGCAUCAAGGUGUGGAUGCUCACGGGUGACAAGGUCGAGACUGCCAUCACCAUUGGCCGCUCGACUCGGCUCAUUCCCCGCCACUGCCGCAUCGAGUACCUGUGUGGGAUGGCCCCGGCAGACAUUGGUCACCGCCUGCACGAGCUGCAGGAGGAGUUUUGCUGGGGCGUGACGUGCGGCAGCAUAGUGCCGCCAUGGACGCUGGUUCUGGAUGGAAACGCCCUGGCGUACUGCCUCUCCCACGCCUCCUUCUUCGCGGACGUGGCCAGAACCGCCUACUCGGUUAUAGUGGCGCGAUGCUCCCCGACGCAGAAGGCUGCGGUGGUUACUGUAAUGCGUGAUAGCUGUCGUGACGCGCGCGUCGCGGCGAUCGGUGACGGAGGCAACGAUGUGUCGAUGAUUCAGGCCGCCAACGUGGGGAUCGGUAUUGAGGGGUUGGAGGGGAAGCAAGCAAGCAUGGCCGCUGAUUUCUCCAUUACGAAGUUCUCUCACUGUCUACGACUGAUCAUGUGGCAUGGGCGGAACUCGUACCAGCGCACGUGCCGACUCAGCCAGUUCAUCAUGCACCGCGGCAUCGUCUACUCGGUUGUGCAGACGGUCUUCUCGGUGCUGUUUGCCGGGACGACCAUGUCUGUCUUCAACGGUUAUCUACUAAUGGGGUACUCCACCGUAUUUACCAUGGCGCCAGCCUUCGCAUUGGUGCUCGACGAAGACUUCAACGAGUCGGACGUGCACGAGUACCCGUUUCUCUACAAAGAUUUGCUCAAGGCCCGCUCCAUGAACACCCGCACCUUUCUGCAGUGGGUGUGGGCAUCGUUCUUCCAAGGAGGGGUCAUGAUGCUGAUGGCGCUACAGCUCUUCAAGUCGGACAUGUUCCAGAUUGUCACGAUCGCCUACACAUCGCUCCUCAUCACCGAGCUGGCCAUCGUUGGCGCCACCGCGCAUCUUCGCAUUCUCUGGCGAGAGCGCCGUGCUCGCUUCUUUCUCUUCUUGUGCUCUGAGGUGGUGUCUCUGCUGAUGUUUUUCCUCGCCGUCGUCGUGUUGCCCGACACGUUCGAUAGAGACUUUUUCUUUUCGUGGAGCUGCUGGUGGCGCGUCGCGGUAAUCUGCCUAGCCAGCAUUGCACCACUCAUGAUAUUUCAAAUGGUUGGCAAGUACAUAUUGUUCAACCCGCGCAUCGCCGUUUCCUGCAUGGGAUGUCGGACGUGACACUUGUGCAUCCGUUCCAUGAUUGACGGCUGCAGAACCUUUUUUUUACCGUUCCUGCCUCGUGUUCGCUGUCUUAAAUCUGUGCUUCGACACGGUCGCUGCAGCGUUCCGUCACGCGUCUUUGUUUUCUUUCACUCCUUUGAAGCCGACAGAUGACGGAGGUAAGCGGAGGGCCAACAGCUCACCGUGCGCGGCAUCUCAGGGUCCAGUGCACUUCCCCACCCCUCCCCCCCGCACAAACACACACACACACACGCAUUAUGUCUGUGUGCGGAGGAGCGAAGCGGCCCCUUCCACCCCCCCUACCUCUGCUAAUGCCGAACUACCUCCGGCCGUGACAAGAUCCAGUACCCACAGCGUAGGGAUGUCAGUGCGAUGUAUCGCUGCUGACGCCGGCGGUGUAGUCGUGGAUGGGCGCGGCUGUGAUGCGACCAGCGAGGCACUGGUGGGUAGGGUUUGAGGCAAAGGCCACGCUCUCCGAUGGCCGGGUCGGCGCACUGCUGCAAGGCGCGUCUGUGCGACUGCUUCGCACGCACGCGACGUGCCCGCUGUGGCAGCCCCCGGGGGGGGGGGCGGGCGAUAGUGGUGAUUGCGUCGUUUUUGGAGGACAGAGAAAUGGACUCACAUUUCAAGCAAAAGAAAGGGCCGCCUAAAAAUCUCGUUGGGGCCGUUUAACGGCACUCUUCCCCACGGGGCUCACUCGUCCCUGCUUCCCCUUGCCUAACUCCCCCACCACCACCACCCCACUCCCACUCCACCGCAGCCUUCGCUCAUGUUUGUUGUGUGUUGUUUGGGGUUCGUUUUUUCCCUUUGCUGCCCUCCUUUCCCGUCUGGCCCGUCUCGCUCGCUUAUGGUAGCCGUGCAUCUCUUCUGUUGCGGCGCUCGCUGCCGCCCUCGGUCCGUCUGCACCACGCCCGUGCCGCACUUUCCAGGCAGAGAGAGCACAGCAAGCACGUGCAAGCAGGGGGCAGUCACAGGAAAGUGAAUAUGAAAAGAAAAGCGGAAAGAGAAGCCAC